UCUUGUAUAAUAGUAACUAGGAACUAAUUAGGGCCGUUGGAUCUAACUUAGAUACGCGCUUGAUUAGCGGCCCAGAUUAAUUCAAACAUAUUCCAUUCAUUUCCCAACCAACUAGCGCACUUUCUCUCUCCUCAAACAUUUUCUCUCUCCUCCAUUGCAACGAGUCCUCUGAAUUCUCCAUUGAAGCGGCUUUCGAGCUUUCUCUACUCCAAUGAAGCAGCUUCUGAGGUAAGAUGUUUGUUUUUUUCUUUAUUUUUCUUAAAAAAUUACACUUUCAUUGUUUUUAUCGUUAAUUGUUUUUGUCAAUUUAGGGUUCUUUUUAUCUGGAUUUAUAAAAUUUGAUAAUGUUUGAAGUUUAUUGUGCUUGAAUUAGGUAUAAUUUUUCAAUAAUAGUUGUAGUUUGCAGUUUUUUUUGCUUCAAUUUUGGAUUCCGGUACGAUUUAAUUGGAGAUUCAAAAGCUACUCUUGAAAUUUCUCAGGUAUUAAAGUAAUAUUCAGCUAAUAAUUUGAUGUUGUUUAACAGUUCGCUACAAUAAAUCGCAAUUUAUGCUUGUAAAUUUUGUUUUGUUUGAUGAAAUUUGUGGUUUUUUUUUUUUUUUUUUUAUUUUUUUUUUCCGCUCAUGUAUACGCGAUAUUUGAUGAUUUAUCUAUAAUCUGAAAAUUUUGUGUAUGAUGAUGAUUAUUGAAUAUUGCAAUAAAACGAGUAUGUGGUAAUUUGCUAUGAGAAUUAUCUACAUUCUGAUAAUUUUGUGUGUGAUGAUGAUUAUUGAAUAUUGCUUGCCUCAUUGUUUAAUUUAGCUAUGUUGCUUUUAAAAUUAUAUACAAAAUUCCUAAAAGUAAAUCAAUUAGGCUUAGAGUUUUAAGUUUUCAUUGGCAGUUGAGUAGUAGCUAUGUUGCUUUUAAAAUUAUAUACAAAAUUCCUAAAAUGAUGAUUAUUGAAAUAAUUUGGAGCUUCAAAUACUUGUGAUUUUUGUAAAGAUGUUGUGAUUGGAUUUUGAGUUUAAGGCACAAUGGCUUUUGGUUGUAGUUUCUGGUAGAUUGAUAUCUUUAAUAGAUAUUGCUUAAGAAUAUCAUUCCUAUAAAUUCAAAUUGACCUUGAAUUAGGUAGAAGUAAACCAAACCUUUUUAAAAGUAGAUUAAAUCUUUACCAAAGUAAAUAAAUAGCAGUUUUAUGUUUAAAAGUGAUUAGAACAGAAGUCAAUGAAUGUGUAUAAUGCCUUAUACUGUGUUUGUUGAAAUCCAAUACCUCAAACCAGUUACAUUCUUACAUAUUACUGAUUUCAUAUAAAGAGAGCAGAAGGGUGCAAGAAGAAAUACAAGAUAACACAAUGAUGAACCUAUGUUAUUAUUGGCUAACAAAUUAAGUUCAACUUAAGACUUUUCAACACUUGCUUAUACAUAUUUCCUCUUAGCAGCUUAAUGCCAACUUGCUCAAUGUCAACUUCAGAGUAACUCUAGCAAUACAAACUUAUCUAAGCACAUGUCUGAAGUCAACCAAACAUUGUAUAUUUUAUCAAAGAACAGUACAAAAUAAACCUGAAAAGAGAUUAAGAUCAAUCUUGUUAGUUUCUAGUGCAUACAUUAUUCAAAGUUCAUUGUUGUCAUUAGAUUAUAAUGCAGCCAUUAUAACAUAAUGCCGCUGCAGCUAGCGACAAGUCAUGAUAUGAACUGUAUCUAUACUUCUACUCAAUUAACAUAACACAGAAUAAUGGUGGGAAUUGGGGAAUAGACUCGUGAUCGUGACUUCAAAGUCCGGAUAUUGAAGCUAAUUACCAAGUACAAGAGCACGAGUACUGCUAUAAUAGCAAGCUUAUUUGAUGGUUCCGAAACUUUUAAUAACAUGACUUUUGGUUGGGUACAUGUUAAGGAUGUUACCAUGGUACAUAUCCUGGCAUUUGAAGUACCUUAAGCUAAAAGAAGGUACUGCUUAGUCGAAAGUGUUGCACAUUAUGAUUCAGAUAUUAUUAGGGUGUUAGAAGAGCUUUAUCCAAACGGUACUCUUUUCAAAGUGCAAAGAUGGCUGUCCAUUGAAGCCUGUUUAUCAGGUCUCAAAGGAGAAACCUCGAAAUUUGGGCAUUGAUUUAUCCCUCUAUCAAUUCUCAAUGCUUUGAGAGAUGUGCAGUAAAUCAACUCUUGACAUACAUGUGUGAGCUCCACCACGUCCUCAACAUGGAGAUUUUGUAAGGAAGAAUGUGAGUUUUUAGUUUGGUGUGAAAAAAGUAAAUAAAAAAGACUGUAAAGUGAAUAAAAAAGCCUUUAAAGUAAACUUAUUAGCUCAAGUGGUAGAGCACUAUGCGGAUGCAUAAAGGUGUAGGUUCAAUUCCUACAUAGGUUAUCUUAGAAAGUAAUUACAAAACAAUCUAAAGUUAUUCAUAAUACCUCAAAAGUAAAUCAAAAUCUCUCAAAAGUAAGUAGAAAAACUAAAAAAGUAAAUGAACAUAUGUCAAAAGUAAAUCAAAUCAACUAAAAAGUAUAAAGUUCAAUUUACUUAACUUAUAAACUAGCAUCUUUUUUUGAGGCGUCCAAUGAUAAAAUUACAGUAUAAUCAAGCCUGAUACCUGUUUGUAACAAGGAUCAUGCAUCAUCAGACAUGUUGUUCUAUUUCAGAACAUUGUGGUUCUUCCACGACAGAAUUAGCCAGACUAUACUUACAUGAACAAGGAAGCAUUUGAACAUUGGAAUAAAAGAGAAGCAGUUACAUUAAUAUGAACUUGUGAAACUACACAGUUGAUACACUUGGGAUAUAAACUGUGAAGUAUACAAUGAAUCAUGUGUUAUAUUUUUAUGUUUUGGAUUAUUGCACCAAGUAUACUAAAACCUAUUAGCUUAAAUGGUAGAGCACUAUGCAAAUGCAUAGGAGAUGUAGGUUCGAUUCCUACAUAGAUUGUCUCUAAAAAUAACUAAAAAAACCUCAAUAGUAAACCAAAUCAUCUUAAAAGUAAAUCAUAGUAAUUCAAAAGUAAUAAGUACAAAAAAGUGAGUAUAUCAAGCUAGGAAUAAAGUGAUGAACUUUUUUCAAAGUUAGGGAUUAAACACUCUAAAGUUAUAACAAAAUACCUCAAAAGUAAAUUAAAAUAACCAAAAAGUAAAUCAAAUUAGCUUGAUGUAUAUACGAACAAUUAAUUGGCUUUUAAUGAGUAAUGACACUAUGAAAACUUGAAAAUAGCACAAAAUUUUUGAGUCAUUGAUUUAAAUAUCCUUACAAAAUGAAUCAAGUUAUGAGAAAGAAGUAUAUGAAGCUCAAUGUAAAGGUUUAAUCAAAAGUAGAGCAAAAUAUGUUAAAAGUACAUCAUAAUUACUCUAACGUAAAUACUAAAAAGUUAAUCAAAAUAUCAUUGAAGUAAAUAUAUAAUAAUAUCAACUUUAAAGUAAAUAAUAUUUUUUCAAAAGUAAAUUAGAAAAACUCAAAAGUAAAUAUAAAUAUAAUAUUUAUAAUCCAAUGGUUUGAAGCAUAAGAACCUACGUGGGAUUCAAACCCACAUCUUUUGUGCACUUGCACAAUGCUCUACCUAUUGAGCUAGUAGGCUAUUAUAGAGUUAGAAUAAUUAGUUUAACACAAUUGAUCGUUUUAGUUUCUUUAUACUAGAAAAAUCACAAAAUUAAAUAAAAAAAUACUCAAAAGUAAAUAUAAAAAUACUCAAAAGUAAAUAAGAAAAGCAUAAUUACAAAACUAGGAAGCAAAGAAGUUUCAGCCGAUAACAUGGCAGCAAUUUUCAAAGCCUGUGACAAACUUCCAUUAUUAUCAUUGGCCGCUAUUAGAGUCUUGGACAAAGAAGGCUCUAACGGAAGCUCAGCCAUGGUUCUCCCAACACUCGUUAUUGCUCCAUUCUCAUCUAUUGCAUCAAUGAGAUACAACUGACUAAGCAUCACCUAAUGACGCAUAAGAAGGUGUAUCCAGAAAAUCAUACUUAAGAAUAUCAAUGCCAGGGAGGUCCAAGGACUUCAGAUACAGGACACUCCAUGCAAGUGAGGUUCUCUGUAUAAAAUCAUCUUUAUACACAAUAGAUGAAUAUAACCUAUAACAUUUCUUGGGGCGUGUCCUCCCAGCAUGCCCCGAUCGUUGGUUAACCUGCACUCUACUAAUCUGUACAGUAUCUAAUGAAUACAACCCAGUUUGAAGAUUAUACUGUCUUUUCAUAACAUAACAAAAAUUUAUAACAUACAAAACCCCAUUAACAGUCAUAGAAGUUUUAGCAAUAUUAGUUGCAACAAUAAAAACUCCUACAAUCACUCUGAGGAGGGCUAAAAACACGAACCUGUAACUCCGGGGGCAACGACCCAUGGAGUGGAUAAAUCACAGCAUCCAUUCCAGAACCUUCUUCUAAGCUCCUAACUCGAUCCUUCAGCUUCUGCACCAACUUCUCUAUAUCCUCUUGACCUGUCAUAAAGAUCAAUAUAUCUUGCUAAACUAAAAUUAUAUAUUAUUAAAACUAAAUUAAAGCUCCAAAAAAAACCCAAAUAACAAUAAUUGAAUCUUAUAUUAUUGCAAAAUUCCAAAUGCACCGACACCCAUACCUAUCAAAUACAAAACUGAAAUCAACAUAAUCACAAACAAAUUUCAGAUCUUGCUAAACUAAAAUCGAAUCGUACUGAACCCAAAUUUCGUAAUAAAAAACGCAAAAAUUUGAUUUAAAAUUGUAUUAAAUCAAGGAAAGCAUUGUUAAUUACAAUCGAAUCAACUUACCUGCCCAUAAACUUGAUUGAAGAAUGCACGAAGAUGAGAAGAUGAAAAUUGAUGCCGUGCAAAAAGAUUAGAGGAAUUUCAGGAGAAGAGUGAGUUUGCAGGAGGAGAGAGAAAACAAAUUCAAGAGAGAGAAAAUGUGGAAGAAGAGAAAGAAAGAAAAUGAACAACGCAUGAGUUAGGACGAAGGUCAUUCAACGCGUAAAUUACAAAAAUGCCAUUAAUGAGGCGGGUGGAAUGUGAGCCAUUAGAUUAAGCGCGAUUAACGGUCAAGAUGAGUUCGUAGUUCCUAUUACAGACCUAUAUUGUCACAUGAUCCUGACAUA
Molecule: long non-coding RNA, 5007 nt
Organism: Chenopodium quinoa (quinoa)
Lineage: Eukaryota; Viridiplantae; Streptophyta; Magnoliopsida; Caryophyllales; Amaranthaceae
Exons: 3
Source: RefSeq, a predicted model, not a curated record